Molecule: long non-coding RNA, 724 nt
Organism: Gambusia affinis (western mosquitofish)
Lineage: Eukaryota; Metazoa; Chordata; Actinopteri; Cyprinodontiformes; Poeciliidae
Exons: 5
Source: RefSeq, a predicted model, not a curated record
GCCACAUUAUUAGCCUGGCGUAAAUGCUAAUGCUUGCUAGCAUGGCGACCAAUGACGACGUAUUAGCAGUGUUUCUGACAUGAAUGAAAUCUCACUGAUUUGAUUUGUCCUCACAACAUCUGAUGUUGAUCAAGAUGUUCCACUGGAAAAUUGGGGAAAUCUUUCUCAAAACAUGACUGAAGUAUCUGCUGUUAAUAGAUUUUGGUGCCGGAUAUCGCCACACACUUUCAGAGAUAACAUUUUGGCCAUCUGUCAACAGAUAAAACUCGCUGAUGUCUGCAGCGGGUUUACUGUUUGAGGAAAAGCACAAAUGUGCUGCGACUGAAAGCUUGACAGAGCAUGAAAAGAAGCUUUAUGUCUGAAGUGCUCCAAGGCUGUCCGAGAGGCACAAGAACCCAUUCAGCCCGGGGGAUCAAGGUCAGCGAUGGGUUCACUACAUCUUAUCAGAUUGAGGCAUCAUCUGAAGACAUCAGUCAAGAAGUUAAUGCUUCAGAGCAACUGGAUUUUCCAAAUGACUAAGAAUACUGCCAAAUUAAUUACACACUGCCCAUCACAAAGCACUGAUAUAUUACUCAUAUAGAAAAGUGUUCUGUCAGGAGGAAUGGGCCAAAAUUUCAGCAAACGUCUAUGUGAAUCGGGUGGAAGCAAAAGAUACAGUUUAGAAAACUAUCAUCAAUAAUGCAAGUAAAAUAUAUCUAAAAUAAAAUACCUCUCAUUAUUUCAA